UACGAAGGGUGCAAGCGUUACUCGGAUUUAUUGGGCGUAAAGCGCGCGUAGGCGGAUUUUUAAGUCAGAUGUGAAAUCUCGGGGCUCAACCUCGAAACUGCGUCUGAAACUGAUAAUCUAGAAUGAUGGAGAGGGAAGGGGAAUUUCUCAUGUAGGGGUAAAAUCCGUAGAGAUGAGAAGGAACACCAGAGGCGAAGGCGCCUUCCUGGCCAUUUAUUGACGCUGUGGCGCGAAAGCGUGGGGAUCAAACAGG
Molecule: ribosomal RNA, 253 nt
Filed under: uncultured bacterium
Lineage: Bacteria
Description: partial 16S ribosomal RNA
Rfam family: Bacterial small subunit ribosomal RNA
Source: RNAcentral